Molecule: ribosomal RNA, 165 nt
Filed under: uncultured bacterium
Lineage: Bacteria
Description: partial 16S ribosomal RNA
Rfam family: Bacterial small subunit ribosomal RNA
Source: RNAcentral
UAGGGAAUCUUCGGCAAUGGACGAAAGUCUGACCGAGCAACGCCGCGUGAGUGAAGAAGGUUUUCGGAUCGUAAAACUCUGUUGGUAGAGAAGAACGUUGGUGAGAGUGGAAAGCUCAUCAAGUGACGGUAACUACCCAGAAAGGGACGGCCAACUACGUGCAAG